CGGAACGGGUGCGUAACACGUGAGCAACCUGCCUUUGGUGGUGGGGGAGUAGCCGGGCUAACGCCCGGGUAAUACCGCAUACGGUUGCCGAGGGGAGUCCCUUGGCAAAGAAACCUCCGGGGCACAGAGAGGGGCUCGCGGCCUAUCAGCUAGUUGGUGAGGUAACGGCUCACCAAGGCGUCGACGGGUAGCUGGUCUGAGAGGAUGGCCAGCCACAUUGGGACUGAGAUACGGCCCAG
Molecule: ribosomal RNA, 239 nt
Filed under: uncultured bacterium
Lineage: Bacteria
Description: partial 16S ribosomal RNA
Rfam family: Bacterial small subunit ribosomal RNA
Source: RNAcentral